This is a long non-coding RNA of Coregonus clupeaformis (lake whitefish), 630 nucleotides long. RefSeq lists it as uncharacterized. NCBI's taxonomy places the organism in Eukaryota, Metazoa, Chordata, Actinopteri, Salmoniformes, Salmonidae. The transcript has 4 exons. The record is from RefSeq and is a predicted model, not a curated record.
UUGCCGUUGUCGGUAAGAAAUUAGGCCCAGACAGUGAAGGCUAUUAAGGCCGUUCUGGUAACAUGGACUGCCAUUAGGCAUGCGGUAGAAUGACCUGAAAUUGGAACUGCCUCCUAGAACCAACUUCUCUGGUUAUAAAUGACCUACGUGGCAUCGAUAUGAGUCAGAAACAUUCAUUAAGAUGUGUUCCAACCCCCAGCUGCCAUGUGUUGUGGACAUGUUGUCAACACUGCAACGAACGCACACUUGCUCGGCACAGGAGUGAAAAUGGGCUUCCACAAAGUUGGUGCAAACUUCUAAUGCGUUCAACCAUAUUGUGCAAGAUGGCAAGGAAUGGAUUACAUACAACAAAAUGACAUGAUGGCUGUGACUUGUGUGUGGCUACUUACAAAACCUGGUGGAUUUGUUGUUCAGCGGUGUUGUGGGAACCCUCCUACCAUAUCAGGAGCAGAAGUCUGAGGCAGUACAUGACCAGGCACCCGUCCCACUUCAAGAUGGAGGACAGGAGAGAUGGUUUGUCAUGGAGUUGCCUGACUAAAAGACAGGUUGAAACCUGAACUGGGAGAGACCUUGCAUUCAGCAAUAAAAUGAUUUGAAUGUGCUGACAACAAAAUCACACAAAAAUGAUCA